This 424-nucleotide ribosomal RNA is filed under the name uncultured bacterium. RNAcentral's name for it is "partial 16S ribosomal RNA". It matches the Rfam family "Bacterial small subunit ribosomal RNA", at positions 360 to 776 of the family's 1533-position model. The record is from RNAcentral.
AAUAUUUGACAAUGGGCGAAAGCCUGAUCCAGCCAUGCCGCGUGUGUGAAGAAGGUCUNCGGAUUNUNAAGCACUUUAAGUUGGGNGGAAGGGCAGUAAGCUAAUACCUUGCUGUUUUGACGUUACCGACAGAAUAAGCACCGGCUAACUUCGUGCCAGCAGCCGCGGUAAUACGAAGGGUGCAAGCGUUAAUCGGAAUUACCGGGCGUAAAGCGCGCGUAGGUGGUUUGAUAAGUUGGAUGUGAAAGCCCCGGGCUCAACCUGGGAAUUGCUUUCAAAACUGACGAGCUAGAGUACGGUAGAGGGUAGUGGAAUUUCCUGUGUAGCGGUGAAAUGCGUAGAUAUAGGAAGGAACACCAGUGGCGAAGGCGACCACCUGGGCUAAUACUGACACUGAGGUGCGAAAGCGUGGGGAGCAAACAGG